GCCGGGGUGGCGGAACUGGCAGACGCAGCAGACUUAAAAUCUGCCGGGCCUAACAGCCCUUGCGGGUUCGAGUCCCGCCCUCGGCA
This 86-nucleotide transfer RNA is filed under the name Candidatus Acetothermia bacterium. RNAcentral's name for it is "tRNA-Leu". It matches the Rfam family "tRNA". Rfam says of the family: Transfer RNA (tRNA) molecules are approximately 80 nucleotides in length. Their secondary structure includes four short double-helical elements and three loops (D, anti-codon, and T loops). Lineage: Bacteria; Candidatus Bipolaricaulota. The record is from RNAcentral.